Pelobates cultripes (western spadefoot toad) is the source of this 913-nucleotide non-coding RNA. The record is from the annotation of a GenBank genome assembly. NCBI's taxonomy places the organism in Eukaryota, Metazoa, Chordata, Amphibia, Anura, Pelobatidae.
CUGGCACUGGCACAGCCACCCAGGACACCCUUGCGGCAAUCCUGGCUAACCUGCAGACCUUGAACAGCAGGUUAAGCAAGGUGGAGAGUGCCAUCGCCUCCCCAGGUAACCUUCCUGACCUCUCCGCCCUCACCCCUGCAGUACCUGUGGCACCAACACCCACCCCUAUACUUCCCCCUUCAGCUCCUGCCUCAGAUAAGUCUCCUUUUGUGUCACCAGCUCACUCCGUCCCAGACUCCAUUAGGAAAGAAAUCCUGGAUGGGAAGGACGUGUGUCUGGUGUCAUUGCUUAUAGCCUCCCAAGACGUGCUGGAGAACAGGGCUCAUAACUUUGGGGAUAUUUCGGUGGUUCUUAAAACCAGAGACCCUAGGCUCAACAAAAAAUUAUCUAUUCCCAAUUUCGUUUUGGCUUUCGGGAUAUACCGAGAUGUCAUCUGCUCGGUAUAUCCCCACAGGAGAGAGGAACUUCUAUCUCCAUAAAGUGGUGGAUUUGGGCGUCAAGUACGGGGGCUCAUUUUUUAAUGACUAUCAUAAAUCGAUAUCAGCAAAAGCAGCGACACAUCUGAAACAAUUUAACAUAGAAUUAACUGGUGUCAGAUGGAUACAGAAUUAUUCUGUCGCCACUUCGCUGGUCUGAGGCCCCCGUCUUGUGCCAUAUGUAAUUCUUCAACUCACUUGGCUGAUUUGUGCCCUUCUGUGGCUAAUCCAUCCACCCCCACUCCCACCCCUCAAUCCACUUCCACUCCUCACAAUAAACAUGAGGGUGGUCAGCGGGAUAAACUGGGUAGGCCCAUCUCCUUUCUAGGGAAAGCUCAGGUGUGCAACAAUUUCAAUGCAGGUUCCUGCAGCUUCAGCGCCUGUAGAUUUUUUGCACAUCUGCUCGAUCUGUUUUCACACUAAGACCUUGUGCCCGG